CACCACCUCCACUACAUCACCACUUCUACUUCCGCCACAAUUCCAAUACCAUCUCUACUCGAUCAUCUUCAUAUCAGAUCUCAUAAAAUAAAUUUCGGAUUUUGAGAUUUAAAUUUUGAGAUUUCAGUUUCUGGUAAUUUCUGAAUUCGAAAAUAUCAGUAAUUUCAGUGACAUCCAAAGAUUCAGACGAUUGAGAGUUGUGAUUUUUAGGUUUCGAUCUAUGGCAACUUCAAGUUGAAAUAUAGAAUAGAAACCAUCCAAAUUCCAGAGAUUAAUGAAUCAGGUUUGUAUCAAAAACCCUAAAAAUAUCCAUUUGAUUUGAAUCUCGCAUAUGUUGGAUGUGUUUUUAUGAUAUAAUUCAGUUAGUAAAACAUUAUAUUUUAUUGCAUUUCGAUCUGGUGCUUGUGGUGGUGGUGGUGGUAGAUGUUGUUGGAAUGGAGGUGACGGUGGUGGAUUCUGUUGUAAUAGUGUAGGCGAUGGUUUUGGUGAUAAAAGCAUCAAUAUUGGUCGUGUAGGAGCAGCAGUAGAGUGGUAGUACUGUAGAUGGUGGCAGCAACAGUGCCAAAUUAAUAGCGAAAUGGGAGUUGUGCUUAGGUAUGGCUGCUGGUUUGUAUAAUGAACCGUGCAGUAGAUGGAGGAUGGUUGCAGUGGUGAUGGUGGUUGCCGAUGGUUCUAAACAGUUGCUGGCAUUCGUAGUUAAGAAGACCAGGUAGAUAAAAAGAGAAUUGCUUCCAUGGUUAGAAAAUUUCGGUGGUAUACGGUGAUGAAACAAUGAUAAUUUAGGACUUGCGUGUUGUUUUGUAUGCAUCCUGGGUGCUAUUGGAGUUGGAAGGAAUCGGCUUCCGAGCCGCGAAGAGAGUUUAACAUACAAAAAUAGGCAAUGGCAGGACUUUGGUAAUGGAACUGGAAUUUGUUGUUCUAUGGUGUUCAGUUAUUCAGGUGGUUGAAACCAGUGGUGCUGAGAUGGGUUUAUGCCAACAAAUGGGUAACUGCAGAAGAUGCCGAGAUAGAUAAGCGAGACAAGGGACUGGUGGUGUUGGAGUUUAUCGAAGUUUAAAUAACUGUGAGAAUAAAGUUUUCGAUUGAGAAAAAUUUGGCAGGCAACAAACAAGAUCCUAAUGAUCAGAGUUGAUGGGUGAGUUGGCUGUUUGAGCAAAACAGUACUUGGAAACAGUAUUGCUAAGAAGAAGAGAUGUAUAAAAAGAACAAAACAGUGUAAAAAACCAACAAUGUCGAUGAAAUUGCAUAAGUUGUUUACUUCUUGUAAAUAAGUGUUCAAAGGACCUGAGAUGAUUCAAAACUCACUAGAAGUUCAAAAAUUCCGGCACAUUCUUGAUUGGUUACUAUUCUUUGCCGGUCUGGUAAUAUUUGGCGACACAACCAAGUACGCUUGCUCUACUAAUGAACAAGAAAUACUAAACAUUUCCGGUCAUGGAUGUCGGAACCUUUAACAAAAUCAUGUCCGGACAGAUUCAGGUUUUGCCACCGAAAAAUGGUCUCUGUUGAAGAGGAAAUAUGGUCUUUCUUAUAGUGCCAAUCGCGACUUUAUUUGUUCCUGCAUUUAAGGUAUACCUUUAGUGGUAAAUUAUCUUUAUGCAUACAUCUUAGAGUAAUCGCGACGAACCUGUGGUGCAAUGGUAGCACAAUUGACUAUAUGUCAGAAAAUAUUUUUUCGACUCAAACCAGGUUCACACAUUUGUGUAUAUUUUUUCUUUUGGACACAACUUAUGCUAGUUGCAUCCAAAUCUGAAGACAACUUGUGCUAGUUGCCUCCAAAUCUGAAGACAACUUGGACUAG
This is a long non-coding RNA of Papaver somniferum (opium poppy), 1798 nucleotides long. RefSeq lists it as uncharacterized. The record is from RefSeq and is a predicted model, not a curated record. Lineage: Eukaryota; Viridiplantae; Streptophyta; Magnoliopsida; Ranunculales; Papaveraceae. The transcript has 3 exons.